CAAAUGGCUCGUCUGAGACCCGAAGAAUUUACAUAACUUGCUAAAGUCACGCAAGAAGAAAGUGAAAGUGUCAAUUUUCGAAUCUAGGUAUUUAACGCAAAAGCGUAUACCAUUUGCCAGAGGGAAGCUUCUGAGGUACUGUCUCUCAAAUCAGGCCCUGGAAACUGGGUCCACCUGUACAACCUAAAGCCCAGACACUGGACUCACAGCUACCCACUUUCUGCAGGACCCACCUUUUACCUGCCUCUGUCUUAGAGUCUGAGUUGAGACUUCAGCUGAGGAUACUUACUCCAAAUAAAGUGAUUUUUCUAUUACACUGCAAUAGAG
Molecule: long non-coding RNA, 327 nt
Organism: Pipistrellus kuhlii (Kuhl's pipistrelle)
Lineage: Eukaryota; Metazoa; Chordata; Mammalia; Chiroptera; Vespertilionidae
Exons: 2
Source: RefSeq, a predicted model, not a curated record